This 251-nucleotide ribosomal RNA is filed under the name uncultured prokaryote. RNAcentral describes it as "partial 16S rRNA". It matches the Rfam family "Bacterial small subunit ribosomal RNA", at positions 525 to 775 of the family's 1533-position model. The record is from RNAcentral.
ACGUAGGGUGCGAGCGUUAAUAGGAAUUACUGGGCGUAAAGCGUGCGCAGGCGGUUAUAUAAGUCAGAUGUGAAAUCCCCGGGCUCAACCUCGGAACUGCAUUUGAGACUGUAUGACUAGAGUGUGGCAGAGGAGAGCGGAAUUCCACGUGUAGCGGUGAAAUGCGUAGAGAUGUGGAGGAACACCGAUGGCGAAGGCGGCCCCCUGGGCCAAUACUGACGCUCAUGCUCGAAAGCGUGGGGAGCAAACAG